RNAcentral lists this ribosomal RNA (995 nucleotides) under uncultured bacterium. RNAcentral's name for it is "bacterial SSU rRNA". It matches the Rfam family "Bacterial small subunit ribosomal RNA", at positions 355 to 1375 of the family's 1533-position model. The record is from RNAcentral.
UGGGGAAUAUUGCACAAUGGGGGAAACCCUGAUGCAGCGACGCCGCGUGGAGGAAGAAGGUCUUCGGAUUGUAAACUCCUGUUGUUGAGGAAGAUAAUGACGGUACUCAACAAGGAAGUGACGGCUAACUACGUGCCAGCAGCCGCGGUAAAACGUAGGUCACAAGCGUUGUCCGGAAUUACUGGGUGUAAAGGGAGCGCAGGCGGGAGAACAAGUUGGAAGUGAAAUCCAUGGGCUCAACCCAUGAACUGCUUUCAAAACUGUUUUUCUUGAGUAGUGCAGAGGUAGGCGGAAUUCCCGGUGUAGCGGUGGAAUGCGUAGAUAUCGGGAGGAACACCAGUGGCGAAGGCGGCCUACUGGGCACCAACUGACGCUGAGGCUCGAAAGUGUGGGUAGCAAACAGGAUUAGAUACCCUGGUAGUCCACACCGUAAACGAUGAUUACUAGGUGUUGGAGGAUUGACCCCUUCAGUGCCGCAGUUAACACAAUAAGUAAUCCACCUGGGGAGUACGACCGCAAGGUUGAAACUCAAAGGAAUUGACGGGGGCCCGCACAAGCAGUGGAGUAUGUGGUUUAAUUCGACGCAACGCGAAGAACCUUACCAAGUCUUGACAUCCCUUGACGAACAUAGAAAUAUGUUUUCUCUUCGGAGCAAGGAGACAGGUGGUGCAUGGUUGUCGUCAGCUCGUGUCGUGAGAUGUUGGGUUAAGUCCCGCAACGAGCGCAACCCUUAUGGUCAGUUACUACGCAAGAGGACUCUGGCCAGACUGCCGUUGACAAAACGGAGGAAGGUGGGGAUGACGUCAAAUCAUCAUGCCCUUUAUGACUUGGGCUACACACGUACUACAAUGGCGUUAAACAAAGAGAAGCAAGACCGCGAGGUGGAGCAAAACUCAGAAACAACGUCCCAGUUCGGACUGCAGGCUGCAACUCGCCUGCACGAAGUCGGAAUUGCUAGUAAUCGUGGAUCAGCAUGCCACGGUGAAUACGUUCCC